CCUGCCACUGCACCUGACUAGUUCUUGUUGGCUGGUGCAGUCUAGUAGUGAGCUGAAAGUAAGCCCCAGCUUUUAGGAAACAGAGUUGUCCUAUAUGUGGAUGGCUCUGUGCUGAAGGCAUGGGAACAGUC
Molecule: small nucleolar RNA, 131 nt
Filed under: Nannospalax galili (Upper Galilee mountains blind mole rat)
Lineage: Eukaryota; Metazoa; Chordata; Mammalia; Rodentia; Spalacidae
Description: Small nucleolar RNA SNORA65 (ENSNGAG00000007872.1)
Rfam family: Small nucleolar RNA SNORA65
About the family: U65 belongs to the H/ACA class of snoRNAs which are thought to guide the sites of modification of uridines to pseudouridines.
Source: Rfam by way of RNAcentral